RNAcentral lists this ribosomal RNA (108 nucleotides) under Periophthalmus magnuspinnatus. The record is from RNAcentral. Lineage: Eukaryota; Metazoa; Chordata; Actinopteri; Gobiiformes; Gobiidae.
AUGUUUGGUCAGACCUCCUUGUCAAAGCCAGAUCUCAGAAGUUAAGCAGAGUUGGACCUGGUCAGUACUUGGGUGGGAGACUGCUGGAAAUACCAUGUGCCAGGGGGU